RNAcentral lists this ribosomal RNA (258 nucleotides) under uncultured bacterium. RNAcentral describes it as "partial small subunit ribosomal RNA". It matches the Rfam family "Bacterial small subunit ribosomal RNA", at positions 26 to 288 of the family's 1533-position model. The record is from RNAcentral.
AGGACGAACGCUGGCGGCGUGCUUAACACAUGCAAGUCGAGCGGUAAGGCCCUUCGGGGUACACGAGCGGCGAACGGGUGAGUAACACGUGGGUAACCUGCCCUGUACUGUGGGAUAAGCCUGGGAAACUGGGUCUAAUACCGCAUAUGACUGCAUUCCGCAUGGGGUGUGGUGGAAAGUUCUGGCGGUACAGGAUGGGCCCGCGGCCUAUCAGCUUGUUGGUGGGGUGAUGGCCUACCAAGGCGACGACGGGUAGCC